This 74-nucleotide transfer RNA is filed under the name Streptococcus oralis. RNAcentral describes it as "tRNA-Gly". The stretch from base 3 to 68 matches the Rfam family "tRNA". From Rfam's summary of the family: Transfer RNA (tRNA) molecules are approximately 80 nucleotides in length. Lineage: Bacteria; Bacillati; Bacillota; Bacilli; Lactobacillales; Streptococcaceae. The record is from RNAcentral.
GCGGGUGUAGUUUAGUGGUAAAACUACAGCCUUCCAAGCUGUUGUCGCGAGUUCGAUUCUCGUCACCCUACCCA